RNAcentral lists this ribosomal RNA (406 nucleotides) under uncultured bacterium. Its description in RNAcentral is "partial 16S ribosomal RNA". It matches the Rfam family "Bacterial small subunit ribosomal RNA", at positions 30 to 526 of the family's 1533-position model. The record is from RNAcentral.
AUUGAACGCUGGCGGCAGACUUAACACAUGCAAGUCGAGCGAGCGGCGGCCGGGUGGGUAAUUUCUGGGAAACUGCCUGAUGUAGGGGUAUCACUACUGGAAACGGUAGCUAAUACCGCCUACCCUCCGUUGUGCCCCGAGGGGAUUAGCUAGUAGGUGGGGUAAUGGCUCACCUCGGCGACGAUCCCUAGCUGGUCUGAGAGGAUGACCGGCCACACGGGAACUGAGACACGGUCCAGACUCCUACGGGAGGCAGCAGUGGGGAAUAUUGCACAAUGGGCGCAAGCCUGAUGCAGCCAUGCCGCGUGUGUGAAGAAGGCCUUCGGGUUGUAAAGCACUGUCAGCGAGGAGGCGUUACUCGCAGAGGAAGCAACGGCUAACUCCGUGCCAGCAGCCGCGGUAAUUC